UACGUAGGACGCAAGCGUUGUCCGGAAUUAUUGGGCGUAAAGAGCUCGUAGGCGGUUUGUCGCGUCGGAUGUGAAAGCCCGGGGCUUAACCCCGGGUCUGCAUUCGAUACGGGCAGACUAGAGUGUGGUAGGGGAGAUCGGAAUUCCUGGUGUAGCGGUGAAAUGCGCAGAUAUCAGGAGGAACACCGGUGGCGAAGGCGGAUCUCUGGGCCAUUACUGACGCUGAGGAGCGAAAGCGUGGGGAGCGAACAGG
Molecule: ribosomal RNA, 253 nt
Filed under: uncultured bacterium
Lineage: Bacteria
Description: partial 16S ribosomal RNA
Rfam family: Bacterial small subunit ribosomal RNA
Source: RNAcentral